CAGUCGAACGAGGGUCCUUCGGGACUCGAGUGGCGAACGGGUGAGUAACACGUAGGGAACCUGCCCGUGCGACCGGGAGAACUUUCGGAAACGGAAGCUGAUACCGGAUAGGGACAGAGACGGCAUCGACUCUGUGUUAAAGGAGCUGAAAGGCUCCGCGCACGGAUGGACCUGCGGUGCAUUAGCUGGUUGGUGAGGUAACGGCCCACCAAGGCGACGAUGCAUAGCCGGCCUGAGAGGGCGGACGGCCACACUGGGACUGAGACACGGCCCAGACUCCUACGGGAGGCAGCAGUAGGGAAUUUUCGUCAAUGGGCGCAAGCCUGAACGAGCAAUGCCGCGUGAACGAGGAAGGUCUUCGGAUCGUAAAGUUCUGUUGAAGGGGAAAAAGAGCGGAGAGAGGAAAUGGUCUCCGAUUGAUAUUACCCUUCGAGGAAGUCACGGCUAACUACGUGCCAGCAGCCGCGGUAAUACGUAGGUGGCGAGCGUUAUCCGGAAUGAUUGGGCGUAAAGGGUGCGUAGGCGGCCUGCUAAGUCUGGAGUGAAAGGUACCGGCUCAACCGGUAUAGGCUCUGGAAACUGGCGGGCUAGAGAGCAGGAGAGGGCGGUGGAACUCCACGUGUAGCGGUAAAAUGCGUAGAUAUAUGGAAGAACACCAGUGGCGAAGGCGGCCGCCUGGCCUGUUACUGACGCUGAGGCACGAAAGCGUGGGGAGCAAAU
RNAcentral lists this ribosomal RNA (720 nucleotides) under uncultured bacterium. Its description in RNAcentral is "bacterial SSU rRNA". It matches the Rfam family "Bacterial small subunit ribosomal RNA", at positions 59 to 773 of the family's 1533-position model. The record is from RNAcentral.